RNAcentral lists this ribosomal RNA (48 nucleotides) under Fametesta operculina. RNAcentral's name for it is "Hirasea operculina partial 5.8S rRNA". The record is from RNAcentral. Lineage: Eukaryota; Metazoa; Mollusca; Gastropoda; Stylommatophora; Charopidae.
AACUUUGAGCGGUGGAUCACUCGGCUCGUGCGUCGAUGAAGACCCAAC